AGAAAAAGUUGAUAACCCUUUAGACUUUUCUAGAGUCUUGAAAGCUGCAUUUCAGAGCCGGGGAAAUGACACAUCAAAGUUCAAUGUUUCUCAUUUGAUCAUAACAAUACACAUAUAUUAUCACAAUUUGAUAAGUGGAGAGAACUUGUACAGCAAGCUUUCUCUUGUUGAUCUGGCUGGAAGUGAUGGUUUAAUUACAGAAGACGAUAGUGGGGAGCGUGUGACAGUGCUGCAUGUGAUGAAAUCACUUUCAGCGUUGGGAGAUGUUUUGUCUUCUUUGACUUCAAGGAAGGAUGUUAUUCCUUAUGAAAAUUCAAUGCUCAC
RNAcentral lists this unclassified non-coding RNA (324 nucleotides) under Hevea brasiliensis (rubber tree). Lineage: Eukaryota; Viridiplantae; Streptophyta; Magnoliopsida; Malpighiales; Euphorbiaceae. The record is from RNAcentral.